This is a long non-coding RNA of Oncorhynchus tshawytscha (Chinook salmon), 4092 nucleotides long. The record is from Ensembl. Lineage: Eukaryota; Metazoa; Chordata; Actinopteri; Salmoniformes; Salmonidae.
CAAGCAUCGGUCUUGAUAGGCUCCACAGAGUGGAACUCCUGUCAUCUCAUCAUGUCAACAAACAGUAGACAGGCUGCCGAAGCAGUGAUGUCACAGGGAGACAAUGUAGCCAAGCCCAGGAUUGGACUUCAGCUCACCCACGAGUCCCUCUGUAUGUAGGUAGCCAUGACUACCGUCUGCCAAUGGCUGCACUCUCAACAGCUCCCUGGCUCCCACAAUCAGGGGCAGCUGAAAGACAACAGUAGGGACAGAGCUAUUGAACAAGAGAGGGCUUGAAUAGCAAGGGCCUGUGGAUACAGUGUGUGCCCGGAUGGACUUGGCCCAGCUAUGGGGGGGUGAGAACCGCGGCCUCUCCCACGUGGAAGGCAGCGACGACUGGGGUGAUGAGUUAGGAGGACUGGGUGUUAUACCCUUCAGUCAUUCCCUCAUCCCUCUCAGAGACUCUCGUCCACUCGUCCUCACCGAUCUGGACAUGUGGGACAGCAGGUCUCACUUUAAAUCUCAGUCCUUAGCGUGGAGUAUGGCAUGUAGGACUGGAGGGUUCCUCUCCAAAAUGAGCACCGGCACCUCCGCUAAUGGCAGAGACAGUGGCUUCAGCAGACAGAGUGACCCAGGGCUGGGUAAAAGAAGAUGGCAGUCGAUGUCUCGCCUGGCCCCCGAGGGCGCACCCCGGUCCCUCUCCCCUGUCUCCCCAGGGGUUGAGCUGAGAGCAGCCCUGGAAGAGAGUGGCUUUAGGCGAGCAGAGCUGGUGCAGAGGCUGCGGGAGGCCCAUGGACGUCUGGACAGCCAGACAGACCUGCUGAAGAACAGAGACGCACAGCCGCAGCACAGCAGUAGUACUGCACAGCUGCUGGAGACGAAACACAAGCAGCUGGCAGAUGCAGUGAGUGCUCUUGAGCAGGAGAAGGAGGCAGCUGAGUUGAGCCGGUUUGAGGAAAGUCGACGUCGAGGAGAACUGCAAGACAAGGUUCUUCGACUGGAGAUGGACAUGUUGAAGAUGAGGUCAAACCUGAGUGUUAUCAAACCUGCGGCCCCAAGAACUAACAACAACCCACUCAGCAGGACCUCACCUGUUACACAACAAGACUUGUUCAGAGAGGAAAAGCACAGAGCAGAGAGAGAGCUGUCCAGACUGAGAGAGGCCCUCAGAGAGGCCGAGGAGAGAGCAGAGGCCCUGGAGACAGAGAGAGACCUUCAGCAACUACACACCUCUAAAGAGGCUCAGAGGACUGUGUUGAACCAGACAGAGGAAGUGAACCAGAGACUGGGUCGGGCCUUGCAGACCCACAGUGAGCUGAAGGACCAGCUGAGUGAGGCACGCAGUAAGCUGGGUCAGGCCACUCUGGAGAGGGACCUUCUGACCUCCAAGGUGUUGCGGCUGGAGGACAGUGUGGAGGACCUGAAGAUCAAGCUGACCGGGGCCAUGUCUGACAAGGACCGCUUACUGCAGGAGAAGGCAGACCUGCACCAGCAUGCUCAGGAUCUGGAGCUGCAGUUGGAGAGGGCCCAGAGAGGCAGGGAAGGCUACACAGACCAGGUGUGUGAGCUCAGCAACCAGCUGGCUGAGGCCAAGGCUCACACCAACAGGCAGGGGCAGGAGACUGUGCAGAUGAAACAGGAACUUCUGACUGUGACAGAGAUGAAUGAAAAGAUGACAUCAGAGCUAGAGAUGGUCAGACAGAGGCUGGAGUCCUCAUUGGCUCAGCUGCAUGAGCUGGGGGCGGAGAGAGUCAUCCACACCAAUCAGAUCGCAGCUCUGGAGACGGAGCGCUCGCAGCUGAUUGGAGAGAAGCAGGAGUUGACGAGUGCUAUUGGACGGGAUGGAAGACAGGAGGAGGAAGUGACAGAGUUGAGGGAGAAUUGUUGUCAGCUCAGUGAAUCCCAGGAUGCCUUGGAGUCAGAGAACCAGAGGCUGCAUGAAUGCUGCCUGACCUUGGAGGCAGAGCUCCUGGAAAAGGAGGAGGGGCUGUGUCAGAAGGGGGAGGAGCUGCAGAGGUUGGAGGCUGAGUCGGCUCAGAACAUGGAGGAGCUGAGGGGUGUGGCCUCACACUGGAGCGAGAAGUGGCAGGAUGUGGCUAUGGCGUUACAAUCCACCCAGGCAGAACUAGAGGAACUCAGAGAGAAGAACCCUGGAGAUACACUUCAAGAGGAGGUGGUACGGCUGAAGGUGGAGGUUGAGAGACUUCAGGGACAGAGAGAUAAGGAAGAGAUCCAGACUCUUCAUCAGCACUGGACCAGUAAAGAGGCAGAGCUGAGCAGAGUCAUUAAAGAUGCCGGUUCUCUGCUGAAGGUAGAGCUGAACGCUUGUAAACAACAGUUGGAGCUGGAGAGGAGCCGGACUCAGGCUCUACACAACAGACUCAAAGUUAAAGACAACCCUCAUAUAUUGGGUAGGGGAACGGUAGAAACGUUUGAUAAAGGGACAGAGACAGAUAUACCACAACAGACACGGGAUGAACAGGUCUCGCUGGAGGAGCUGGGCCAGGUGAGGGCAGAGCUACUGAUGGUCUCCCUGGAGGAGGUGGAUGGGGGCCAGGUGUCACAGCUAAAUAGUGAACUUCAGAGGCUGGAGCUGGAAGUGGCAGAGAGAGAACAGCACCUGAGGGAGAAGGAACAUGCUCUGAGGAGUCUGGAGAGACUGAGAGAUGCCGAGAGGACAGAGGCGCAAAUCAAGGUUUCUACACUGGAGCUGAAGUUGAUUAACCUAAAGGAGCAGGCCGGUGGAGAAGGUCUAUGUCAUGGAGGCCAAGAACAAGCUCAGCACACUGACUCACUGAGGUCUCAGCUAGAGGAGUGCAGGAGGAGAGCCAAUCAGCUGCAACAGGAGAGAGACCAGGCAGUUCAGAGGCUACAGACUCUACGCCGGCUACAUCAGGCUACGGAACAGGAAGCAGCUGCAGGCAGCAAGAAAGAGAGAAUGGUUUGUGUGGAUAACAUAGUGAACCAGGAUAAACAGAGAAGACUGGUAACAGAACAGCUGAAGAGUCUAUUUAAGGAGCGUGAGCAGUUGGGUCAGGUCUAUGGUAGAUCAGCAGGAGGAGGAGGAGUUCUGCAAGACUGGGCACCGAAGUCGAAGGUCAUCAAGAACUCCCUUGACACACUACACAGCCAGAGGAAGAGAGAGAAGGAGCUGAUGAGGGAGCAGCAGUUUGCAGGACUGAGGCCUGUGUCUGAGGAGCAAGAAGAGGAGGACGACCCAGAGAGGGAGGUGGAGGAGGAGGUGACUCGCCUUAGGGAGGAACUCCACAGCAAGACCCACGCGAUGUCAGCGAUGAGUGUGGAAAUCAGCGAUCUGAAAGAGAGAAAUGAAAACCUCCAGAAAGCCAAGCUAAGGUUUCAGCCACAGAUCCAAGGGUUGGGCGCCACAGCGUCUAACUCUUCAGAGAAGACCACGUCAGAGAGUGAGGAGCCUCUUCUAUUGGAGAGAGACAUGCAGAGGGGAUCAUCAUCAUCAUCAUCACCACCACCCCGCUGGGAAGAUGGAGUGUUCCUGGCUAGGCAGGUGCAGAUCGGCAGCCCUGAAUUGGAGGGGGAGGAAGAGGAAGAUGGAGGCUGUGGCUGAUGCAUACCUGGUCCUAAUUUGCUCCCUACCCCUUCUCCUUGGCCCUGAACUACUUCAAGGUUGUCAGAUCUGAAGCAUCUAUAUACGUAGAAGCAGUAUUGUUGUAGAGCUUCCACUAUAUUGCUUCCACCCCUACAGAUCUGCAAACAUUGAAGCUAAUGGAGUCCUCAGUCUUCGUGUGAAGUCUUACUAUAGUCAUGCAAUGAUACAAAUCCUAAAAAGGUUGUACAAACCAGUGUUAAUGUCAAUCUACUGAUUAGUGGUUAUAAAUGUGGUGCUUUUGUUGAUGAUUAACAAUGAAACAGGAAGUGAAAUGUGUUCCAUUGAUAAUAGUGAGAUGACAACAGAGGAUGAUUUUCUGUAAUACGCCUACGCUAUAUAAGCUAAUGAUCCAAUGAAUAGGGCUGUGUAAUAGUAGUAAUGUUAAUGUGGUUAAUACAUUAAAACUACAAUGUUACCACAUACAGCACAACAAUUCUGGAGGUUUGUGAUUUGCCCAUUUUGUUGUAAUUAAAAAACGAUUGCAUUAA